Molecule: ribosomal RNA, 673 nt
Filed under: Candidatus Berkelbacteria bacterium CG_4_10_14_0_8_um_filter_35_9_33_8
Lineage: Bacteria; Candidatus Berkelbacteria
Description: bacterial SSU rRNA
Rfam family: Bacterial small subunit ribosomal RNA
Source: RNAcentral
UUUUUGAGAGUUUGAUCCUGGCUCAGGACAAACGCUGGCGGUAUGCCUAACACAUGCAAGUCGAACGGUCGCCUUUGGCGACAGUGGCAAACGGGUGAGUAUCACGUAGAAACAUACCCUUAUUUCGGACAUAGCCCACCGAAAGGUGGAUUAAUUUCCGAUAGCAUCCGAUGCAAUAUUCGGAUUAAAGAAUUUCGAAUAAGGAAUGGUCUGCGUCCUAUCAGCUGGUUGGUGAGGUAAUGGCUCACCAAGGCGACGACGGGUAGCUGGUCUGAGAGGAUGAUCAGCCACAAUGGAACUGUGACACGGUCCAUACUCCUACGGGAGGCAGCAGUGGGGAAUUUUGCGCAAUGGGCGAAAGCCUGACGCAGCAAUACCGCAUGAAGGAUUGAAGGUCUUCGGAUCGUAAACUUCUUUUAUAAGUGAAGAUUAUGACUGUAACUUAUGAAUAAGGACCUGCUAACUUCGUGCCAGCAGCAGCGGUAAUACGAAGGGUCCAAGCGUUGUCCGGAUUUAUUGGGCGUAAAGCGUCCGCAGGUGGUUUGGUAAGUUUUACGAUAAAGACCUUUGCUCAACAAAGGUAUCUUGUAAAAUACUGCCUUACUUGAGGAAAGCAGGGGCAAAUGGAACUCCCGGUGUAGCAGUGAAAUGCGUUGAUAUCGGGAGGAACACC